Molecule: ribosomal RNA, 805 nt
Filed under: uncultured bacterium
Lineage: Bacteria
Description: bacterial SSU rRNA
Rfam family: Bacterial small subunit ribosomal RNA
Source: RNAcentral
AACGAUGAAGCCCAGCUUGCUGGGUGGAUUAGUGGCGAACGGGUGAGUAACACGUGAGUAACCUGCCCCUGACUCUGGGAUAAGCCCGGGAAACUGGGUCUAAUACCGGAUAUGACUUUUGACCGCAUGGUUGAGGGUGGAAAGAUUUAUCGGUUGGGGAUGGACUCGCGGCCUAUCAGCUUGUUGGUGAGGUAAUGGCUCACCAAGGCGACGACGGGUAGCCGGCCUGAGAGGGUGACCGGCCACACUGGGACUGAGACACGGCCCAGACUCCUACGGGAGGCAGCAGUGGGGAAUAUUGCACAAUGGGCGCAAGCCUGAUGCAGCGACGCCGCGUGAGGGAUGACGGCCUUCGGGUUGUAAACCUCUUUCAGUAGGGAAGAAGCGAAAGUGACGGUACCUGCAGAAGAAGCGCCGGCUAACUACGUGCCAGCAGCCGCGGUAAUACGUAGGGCGCAAGCGUUAUCCGGAUUUAUUGGGCGUAAAGAGCUCGUAGGCGGUUUGUCGCGUCUAUCGUGAAAGUCCGAGGCUCAACCUCGGAUCUGCGGUGGGUACGGGCAGACUAGAGUGAUGUAGGGGAGACUGGAAUUCCUGGUGUAGCGGUGAAAUGCGCAGAUAUCAGGAGGAACACCGAUGGCGAAGGCAGGUCUCUGGGCAUUUACUGACGCUGAGGAGCGAAAGCAUGGGGAGCGAACAGGAUUAGAUACCCUGGUAGUCCAUGCCGUAAACGUUGGGCACUAGGUGUGGGGGACAUUCCACGUUUUCCGCGCCGUAGCUAACGCAUUAAGUGCCCCGCCUGGGGAGU